This 244-nucleotide long non-coding RNA is filed under the name Lathyrus oleraceus (garden pea). RNAcentral's name for it is "Pisum sativum (pea) long non-coding RNA (PSAT_LNC008525)". Lineage: Eukaryota; Viridiplantae; Streptophyta; Magnoliopsida; Fabales; Fabaceae. The record is from RNAcentral.
GUUAUUUUAUUUCUAUUCAAGACCAUAUCAAGAGAAAGUAGCUACUUAAGCAUAAAUCUUCCAUGAAGAUCUUAAUUGUCUUUAAUAAACAAGUUUGUAGUUGUUUAUCUUUUUUUUCUUUUCAAAUUGCAAAUUUACCACUUUAGCAUUGAACAGAUGAUCCAAAAGAAACUUGAUCAUCGCAACAGCAACUAGCAACUUGAAUGUGAAGGAUGAGAAAAGAAUCAAUAAACUUAUAUUCAAC